Long non-coding RNA from Neopsephotus bourkii (Bourke's parrot), 2758 nucleotides. RefSeq lists it as uncharacterized. The record is from RefSeq and is a predicted model, not a curated record. Lineage: Eukaryota; Metazoa; Chordata; Aves; Psittaciformes; Psittacidae. The transcript is spliced from 3 exons.
GGAUGAACCGAUAAGCAAAUGGGGGGAAAAAAAGGCUCUGCUUAAAAGAAAAAAAAAAAAAAAAAGCAUGCUUUUAAUAUGCUUCCAGAUGGGGGCAAAAUGAUUUACAUGGGAGUUUAUUUCCUCUUUGCUGAUAUGAAAGAAUUACAGAUACAAACCCCACUGAUCUAUAGAAUAAAAAAAAAGAAAAGAAAUGUUAUUUUCCUGUAAAGGUAUCAGUUCAUUUAUAUUCAUUUAACCAUCCAUCCAUCAAUUCACUUUCUCACUCUCUGCACAUUCUCUCUGCCUCUGGUAAACCUACCCCACCAAUAUACUUUUUUGGAAUAUACAAUGAAGUUUCCUUAAGAAAAAAAAAAGGAAAUAAUAUGAGAUUCAGCUGAAGUAGCUAAAGCGAAGUUUCCCUUCUUUACCCACCCAGCGCCUAUUUUAUGUUACAGACUUUUAAGUAAAUCAGCAACGUGGAAAAGAAAAUGUUUGAGUUUGGGGAAAAAAAGUCUGUGUAUAUCUAUAAAUAAUAUAUGCAAUACAGAUGUUCUAUAUGCCCCUACAUGUGUAUAUAUAAUAUAUAUAUAGAGCGGAGUUCGUGUGCUCAACAUGUAUGUAUUGUGUCUCUAUACUUAUGUUAUACAAACAGUUCAUUCUUUACCUAUGUGCGUGCCUAUAAAAUAAAAUAUACGCAUAUUGUACAGAUAUUUACAGCAUUCAUAUAUCGUAAGUACACGUACGUAGAUUUAAACAUACAUCCAGCUUGCGUAUGCUGUAUAUAUGCACAAUAUAUAUGAUGCCCAUGCACAUGCACGUGCAAUGGCAACAUCUCUCUGAAUAGGAGCAGAAUGUUUGUAUAUAAACAUAAAAUAUUUUCUUACAUUCUUAACAUGUAUCCUUUAUGAGCAUUGAGGCACAUAGAGCCUCCUCCAUCCACAUAUAGAGGGAGUGCGGUACUGGAGGGCAGGAAUCAGGCUGGUGGCCUCAGACCUUCACAAUGUAAAGGCCACAUCUGUGUUUUUUGCAUUUGGGAUGGUACCUGAACCUGAGAUGCCAUUUCUUUUAUAGAAGUAGUGACCUGAGAGCAAACCUCUUUCACUCUUAGUAACAACCUCAAGCACUAAAGCAAAGCUGCCCUAGGUGAGCUCUUCCUCGUGGCUGCUGCUUGCUGGGGCUGUACCCGGCGGGAGGUGGCUUCUGUCUUCCCAUGCUCUCCGUGUGAUGGCCCUUAUUUGCAGGAAUAGUUACAAGGAGGAUAAGACUGUGCACCCAAAGAUGGAGGCUGCUAAAUCAUCCAUCAUUUCCUGGAGACCUUCCGGCUGGAGGGAUGAGGAAUAACUUCUUUUUCUGGUCUAAACAUAGAAUCAAAAGCUGUGUAAGGAGUUGCCUUUUUAUUGUUAAAAACAGGUAAAUAGAGAGGCAGCUAGAUAUGAAAAUACCUAUAUAUAGAGAUAAAAAUAUACAUCUUUAUCUUCAGCUGGAUACGGAUAUAGAUCCAAAUGUAAUUUUUCUCAUGGUUGCCAUUAAGAAGAGCCUCAGACAGGGCUUGGGGGGUCCUCACCAUUCUGUUUUUAAAAUCCAUGUAUAAAUAAACUAACCAGCCAAUCACCCCAAGAUCAAACAACCUGGUGACAACAGCUACCUCAUGGAUGCCUGCCCCUUGCAGAUCCCCUGUACAGCUGUGAACCAGAUCAAAGUCUGGAGUUACCAGAUCCCUUAUUGUAAGUGACACCUGCAAAUGUUAGCCUUGCUUCGUGUUUCCAACCCAUACCUGAAUAAAUACAUAAUCAUAUCACACAGCAUAAUUAAUAAGAGUAUCACCAUGAAGGACUCUUAAAGGAAAGGCUGUUGAAAGAGAGUUCCUGAAGAUAAUCCUUUUAAAAGGUUUCCUUAAAAUGCAACCACUAGCGGGAAUAAGGCAGGUUUAGUUCCAACAUCUUAAUACCUCUGGUUAGCACAGUUUUAGAUCUUGUAAAUGUCUUUCCUUUAAUAGUGGCUUGACUUUUGAUUUGGGACUUGCACUUUUUGGAGGAUCUCAUUGCUGCUGUGGUUCUCAAUGGAGAAGGUUCCCAGAGGAGGCCCAGCCUGGCUCCACUUUCUACUGACCCAUCGGGGAUUCACAACCUUGUUUCUGCUGGAAAUCAAAUAUGAUUGCAUCUUGCCUGCUUUAAUAACCUUUGUAACUUCACCAUUCUGGAGCAAGAACUGAUGUCCUUUACUUUUGUUUAACGACCCAUUUGAGUAAUUUUCAGGGUGCUGCUUAAUUUGUCUUUUUUCCUUAUCCUGGAUGGCACCCCAACUCCUGGGUCACGGAAACGGGGCUCGGCUGCUCCCAAGCUCUUUGCUUAGUGGUGUUGCUUGACUCCUCCAUUGUGCUUAGAAAAGUCCUGCGUGUCAUCCACUGCCAGGGUCGGUCCUCAGUUUUGUCUUGAGGAUGUGCAAACGCUGGACAACUCCACACUGUGGAUAUUCACCCUGAUGCAGCAACAUAGUCUGACUUGAGGUCUUCUGGCUCCCCCAGUGUGAGCGUUUCCAGAGGUGAGUCUUUUCACCUAUAAAGCAGAGAUGGAACGAAGUGGGAGGAAGCUCCCCCUUCUGCAAGAUGGUGUAUUUGACAGCAGUGAUGGAACCUGAGGUUGCAAAAGUCCUUUAAGGAGUAUGCAUUUCCAGAUGCUAUUUACUGUAUUAAAAGCUGGUCACCCAAUCCAGGUCCGAAAUGCUUGAACCUGGGAGUUGCUGGCAUCAAACCACUGUGAGUCAGCCAUGUGGGACA